Manis pentadactyla (Chinese pangolin) is the source of this 924-nucleotide long non-coding RNA. RefSeq lists it as uncharacterized. The record is from RefSeq and is a predicted model, not a curated record. The transcript has 2 exons. Lineage: Eukaryota; Metazoa; Chordata; Mammalia; Pholidota; Manidae.
GUUACUAGGAGAGAAAGGACUUGCCAGGUAGAAGAAACUGCACACUUAAUGCAGGGAAGCAAGAGAGUGAGUGGGCUGGGUGUCAGGGACUUCGGGUAGUCAUAAAUGUCAGGAGCUCUGGGAGGUGUGGGGACCUGGCUGGGGAGGCCCCUGACUUACUGUGUCAGCAGAAAGCAACGUUGGAGGGCAAACCCAGCCCCUUCUGCUCCCAGUCUAGGGCAGCCACCCAGCGGCUACAUGGAAGCUGGAUCUCUUCCCGCGGAGCUUUCAAAUUCCCCAGUACAGAGCCAGCCAUUCCACCCAGCUAUGGGAAGGGCCUGUGCCAGGUGAGAAGGGGGCAGGGCAGGGCACAGAACGGGCACCUCACCCACCAGGAUGUGUUCCUUUCCUCACCUCAGACACUGGCUCCUGGAUGCCACGCUGUUUUCAUUCAUUUGCUUUAUCCUGACUCUGCCAGCAAGCUGCAAGGACCAGGGGAACUGCCCCAGCUGGUCUGACUGGUUGGCCUGCAGCUCACAGGUCCUCUCUCUCCCAGAGGGCUCCUGCGUCUCCCCUGCUCUCCCCAGCUCUGACAUGUUCCCAUUGGCUGAAGUGGCUUCUCCUAGCCAGUGCGCAUCACUUGGCACCACACUCAUCCCUCCAAGAACGUGAUGGAAAGCACUGUGAUGUUUUAACUUCUGUAUUUUUCCGUGCCUCCUGGCCCCAUCUGCAGACUGAGAAAUUCAGCUCUAGACUCUGUGAGAAAAUGGAGAAAUGUGAACUCAAACCCAAAAAUGAAAGUCCAGAAGAAAGCCCACGCCUUCACGGGAAUGGGUACAGCCUGGGUGACACCAUCUACCCCAUGAAGAAACAGGGUCACGAGAUUGUCAUAUUAUUUUUUACAAUAAGAAUUUUAAAAUUAAAAUAAACUUUUAAGUUCUGCUA